GAUGAACGCUGGCGGCGUGCCUAAUACAUGCAAGUCGAGCGAACGGACGAGAAGCUUGCUUCUCUGAUGUUAGCGGCGGACGGGUGAGUAACACGUGGAUAACCUACCUAUAAGACUGGGAUAACUUCGGGAAACCGGAGCUAAUACCGGAUGAUCUUUUGAACCGCAUGGUUCAAAAGUGAAAGACGGUCUUGCUGUCACUUAUAGAUGGAUACGCGCUGCAUUAGCUAGUUGGUAAGGUAACGGCUUACCAAGGCAACGAGGCGUAAACGACCGGAGAGGGGGAUCGGCGACACUGGAACUGGGACACGGUCCAGACGACUACGGGAGGCAGCAGUAGGGAAUCUGACGCAAUGGUCGAAAGCCUGACGGAGCAACGCCGCGUGAGUGAUGAAGGUCUUCGGAUCGUGAAACUCUGUUAUUAGGGAAGAACAUAUGUGUAAGUAACUGUGCACAUCUUGACGGUACCUAAUCAGAAAGCCACGGCUAACUACGUG
RNAcentral lists this ribosomal RNA (497 nucleotides) under uncultured bacterium. RNAcentral's name for it is "partial 16S ribosomal RNA". It matches the Rfam family "Bacterial small subunit ribosomal RNA", at positions 28 to 507 of the family's 1533-position model. The record is from RNAcentral.